RNAcentral lists this ribosomal RNA (251 nucleotides) under uncultured prokaryote. RNAcentral describes it as "partial 16S rRNA". It matches the Rfam family "Bacterial small subunit ribosomal RNA", at positions 525 to 775 of the family's 1533-position model. The record is from RNAcentral.
ACGGAGGUUGCGAGCGUUGUUCGGAAUAACUGGGCGUAAAGGGAGCGCAGGCGGUCUGGCAAGUCUAAAGUGAAAGCCCGGGGCUUAACCUCGGAAGUGCUUUGGAUACUACUUGACUAGAGUUCGUGAGAGGAAAGCGGAAUUCCAGGUGUAGCGGUGAAAUGCGUAGAUAUCUGGAGGAACACCGGUGGCGAAAGCGGCUUUCUGGCGCGAUACUGACGCUGAGGCUCGAAAGCAUGGGGAGCGAACAG